UACGGAGGUGGCAAGCGUUGUCCGGAUUUACUGGGUGUAAAGGGCGUGUAGCCGGGCUGACAAGUCAGAUGUGAAAUCCGGGGGCUCAACCCCCGAACUGCAUUUGAAACUGUUGGUCUUGAGUAUCGGAGAGGCAGGCGGAAUUCCUAGUGUAGCGGUGAAAUGCGUAGAGAUAUGGAGGAACACCAGUGGCGAAGGCGGCUUCCUGGUCUGCAACUGACACUGAGGCGCGAAAGCGUGGGGAGCAAACAGG
Molecule: ribosomal RNA, 253 nt
Filed under: uncultured Oscillospiraceae bacterium
Lineage: Bacteria; Bacillati; Bacillota; Clostridia; Eubacteriales; Oscillospiraceae
Description: partial 16S ribosomal RNA
Rfam family: Bacterial small subunit ribosomal RNA
Source: RNAcentral